ACCUAUUACCAUGACCUCACUAAUGACUUUGCCUCUGCCAAACACACGUUAGUCACAGUAAUCAACAUUGUCAUUAAUCACUGAAAUAAUUAGGGGCCUAGAUGCUCUUUCAACCGGCAAUCAUGUAUACUCUUUAGUCCUUACUAAACCUAUUACUACUAUGCACUGUUUUAUUCGAUGUUGAUCACAGAUGUUCUAGCACUAAUAUUAAGGCAUACUAUUGGUGCACUUGAGCUUGGAGACUAUCUUGUUGGGUUCAUCAUCCAAAGUAAAAAUAUUUCCUUUAUUCAUAUGUAGUUCUUUAUUUUCCAAUGUAUGUAAUUUCAACCUUUGGGGUAAUAUUCUCAGUGCGAGACUUGGUUUGCACCUUGCAGUUGUUAAGCCAAGAUGAGACAUCCUCUUGUUAUUGUUUGGUGUUUGGUACUGUAAAGUUCCCAUUUUUAUGUUGAAGGCUUAUUUAUCUUAAAUGCUUUGGUGAUUCCAGCGGACCAUAAAUAACUCCAGAAACUAAAUGACAUGACCUUUAUCUCAACCAUUUUCUGAAAGCAUCGUCAAAGAACUUUUUGGCCGGCCGGAAGCCCUUUGUAGACGUUACUUGUACCCUGUAUUCUGGUGUUCAAUUUGUAUAUUUCAGAUUGUAAGGGUUAUCUAUCAACAUCUGUACUUUUAUACCAUUUCUUGGACAAAGCUUCCUUUGUUUGUGUAAUAAUAUUUCAAUGUUAUAUAUUGUGGAGAAUGAUA
This is a long non-coding RNA of Sorghum bicolor (sorghum), 741 nucleotides long. RefSeq lists it as uncharacterized. The record is from RefSeq and is a predicted model, not a curated record. The transcript is spliced from 2 exons. NCBI's taxonomy places the organism in Eukaryota, Viridiplantae, Streptophyta, Magnoliopsida, Poales, Poaceae.